GACGAACGCUGGCGGCGUGCUUAACACAUGCAAGUCGAACGGAAAGGCCCUGCUUUUGUGGGGUGCUCGAGUGGCGAACGGGUGAGUAACACGUGAGUAACCUGCCCUUGACUUUGGGAUAACUUCAGGAAACUGGGGCUAAUACCGGAUAGGAGCUCCUGCUGCAUGGUGGGGGUUGGAAAGUUUCGGCGGUUGGGGAUGGACUCGCGGCUUAUCAGCUUGUUGGUGGGGUAGUGGCUUACCAAGGCUUUGACGGGUAGCCGGCCUGUGAGGGUGACCGGCGACAUUGGGACUGAGAUACGGCCCAGACUCCUACGGGAGGCAGCAGUGGGGAAUAUUGCACAAUGGGAGGAAGCCUGAUGCAGCAACGCCGCGUGCGGGAUGACGGCCUUCGGGUUGUAAACCGCUUUCGCAUGUGACGAAGCGUGAGUGACGGUAAUGGGUAAAGAAGCACCGGCUAACUACGUG
RNAcentral lists this ribosomal RNA (468 nucleotides) under uncultured bacterium. RNAcentral describes it as "partial 16S ribosomal RNA". It matches the Rfam family "Bacterial small subunit ribosomal RNA", at positions 28 to 507 of the family's 1533-position model. The record is from RNAcentral.